UGUAGCUCAGUGGUAGAGCACUUGCCAAUCAUGCAAGAAGCCUUGGGUUUAAUUCCCAGCA
This 61-nucleotide transfer RNA is filed under the name Marmota marmota marmota (Alpine marmot). It matches the Rfam family "tRNA", at positions 6 to 65 of the family's 71-position model. Rfam says of the family: Transfer RNA (tRNA) molecules are approximately 80 nucleotides in length. Lineage: Eukaryota; Metazoa; Chordata; Mammalia; Rodentia; Sciuridae. RNAcentral also lists the same sequence under 3 other names. The record is from Rfam by way of RNAcentral.